Molecule: ribosomal RNA, 280 nt
Filed under: uncultured bacterium
Lineage: Bacteria
Description: partial 16S ribosomal RNA
Rfam family: Bacterial small subunit ribosomal RNA
Source: RNAcentral
GAUAAACGCUGGCGGCGUGCCUAAUGCAUGCAAGUCGGACGGAGUCAUCCUUCGGGGUGAUUGAGUGGCGAACGGGUGAGGAACGCGUGGAGAACCUACCCCGGCGUGGGGGAGUACCCGCCAGAAAUGGCGGCUAAUACCGCGUACGGUCCAGGGGCGGGCAGGCUCUCUGGAAGAAAGCAGUGAUGCGCGCUGGGAGGGGUCUGCGCCCGAUUAGCUAGUUGGCGGGGUAACGGCCCACCAAGGCGGUGAUCGGUAGCUGGUCUGAGAGGAUGAUCAG